UUAGAGCCUACCUAAAAAAUUUCACUAGAAGAGGUUGUUUUGAUGCACAAAUCUCCAAAUCUGGCUGGAGCGGGCCCAAAUAUCGCCAAAAAAAUCCGGUUCAAAAUGCCGAACAGCCCUCUCAAAAUGCCGCUAAGCCAUCAUGACCUACACAAAAAGUUAUCCUUCCCUCACCAAACAAAUUAUUUUCGUUGGAGAAAGCUGUUCGGCAUUUUGAACAGGAUUUUUUUUGGCGAUUUUGUUUUGCUGGAAUAGGCGGUCCGGCAUUUCAUGAUGGCGGUCUGGCGUUUCAUGGUGGCGGUCCGGCAAUUAUUAUUUUUGCUGGAAUGGGCUGUCCGGCAUUUUGAAGUUACGGUUCGGCAUUUUGAAGGGGCAUUUUGGUAUUUUGAUAUGGAGGUCCGAUAUUUUGUAGGGGCAGUCCGGUGUUUUGAAGUACGUCGGACUGAACAGUCUUGCGUUUCUUUUUAUUGGGUUCCGAAAGUGAUUUGUUAUGUGAGGACAAGGUAUUUUUUUCAAAAAAAAAAAAAAACUAUUUAUAUAGGUGUAUUAGCUAGAAAACAUCAUUUUUUGGGGAGGAGUUGCUAGGAAAAGUUGGUGGGGUGUAAAGUGGGUAACAAGUCCGUCUGGGGGGUUUUAGCUCUUUUCUAUGCUCAUUUCUUUCUCUCUCCUCCGUGGUUUUCUUCCUCAUCCCUGUGCCAAGCCAUUCCCUGCUCAAACCGGUUGCUCGCGCACUCUCUCUGCCUCUCGCUUCCUGUCUCUCUUUCUCCUAAUCGUUCAGAAAACCCCAUUGGCCCCCCGCCUUCCCUGUCCAAAGGCCAUUCCCCUGCUCGAACCCACAGGCCGCUCGCUGGCUCUCGCUGCCGCUCGAGCACCAUCUCGCAUAGUCAUUCCUUGCUCAAACCAAAGGGCCGCUCGCUCACUCUCUCUGCCUCUCGGUCCUUGUCUCUCUCUUUCCCCUAAUCAUUCAGAAAAAUCCAUCGACGCCUCGCCUUCCCUGUCCAAAGGCCAUUCCACUGCUCGAACCCACAGGCCGCUCGCUGGCUCUCUUUGCCGCUCGAGCACCUUCUCGUGCAGGUACUCUCUCUCUCUCUCUCUCUUCAUAUUUGACUCAUAAAAUUUCCAUCGAUUUUGUGUGGUGUAUGUAUUUCAAAUGGAAAUGCACCCCCAUUAGCAACAGAGGAAGAUGAGGGACUUUUGUGACACAAAGGAGAUUCAUGUGACUGCAAUACUCUCCUUUAUUGCUUGUCCUGUUGCAGUCUUGGACUAUGAAGUUCUCCAUGAAAUAGCUCGGGCCAAAGGAAAAACUGCUACUCAACGUUAAGGACAAAACAUGUCGUAAGCUUCGAACCCAUAAGGUGGCAGUAGAUGUGAGUUGAUGGUAAGAAGCAAUUAUUUGGAAGAUAGGACAAAUUCAUAUGGAACAACUUCAAAAGAGGGGUUAUGUAGCUCUUUUUUCAAAUGAAGGGCUAUGCCAUUCACUCAAAAAAAAGAUGUAGGUUGUAUGCCAUUGUACUCUUUUCACGUUUUUUUGGGUUGUAAGAAAGUGAUAUGUAAGGUGAUUGGGUAUAAGGAACGAACCAUUUCGCAAGUAGUUGAUGAAUUGUAUGUAAUAUUAUAGUUAUAAAAUGCAAUGCAUUAUCACUAUGGCAAUAGUUUAUCA
Molecule: non-coding RNA, 1660 nt
Organism: Amborella trichopoda
Lineage: Eukaryota; Viridiplantae; Streptophyta; Magnoliopsida; Amborellales; Amborellaceae
Source: RefSeq, a predicted model, not a curated record